RNAcentral lists this ribosomal RNA (349 nucleotides) under uncultured bacterium. Its description in RNAcentral is "bacterial SSU rRNA". It matches the Rfam family "Bacterial small subunit ribosomal RNA", at positions 1 to 334 of the family's 1533-position model. The record is from RNAcentral.
CUAGCGACUUCACGAGUUUUGAUCCUGGCUCAGGAUGAACGCUAGCUACAGGCUUAACACAUGCAAGUCGAGGGGCAGCAUGAACAAAGCUUGCUUUGUUUUGAUGGCGACCGGCGCACGGGUGCGUAACACGUAUCCAAUCUGCCCGCGGCUCGGGGAUAGCCCAUCGAAAGAUGGAUUAAUACCCGAUGGCGUGGUCACUCCGCAUGGAGUUUCCACUAAAGGUUUUCCGGCCGCGGAUGAGGAUGCGUAUGAUUAGGUAGUAGGCGGGGUAACGGCCCACCUAGCCUUCGAUCAUUAGGGGUUCUGAGAGGAAGGUCCCCCACACUGGAACUGAGACACGGUCCAG